AGAGUUUGAUCCUGGCUCAGGAUGAACGCUGGCGGCAUGCCUAAUACAUGCAAGUCGAACGAGAGGAAGGAAAGCUUGCUUUUCUGAAUCUAGUGGCGAACGGGUGAGUAACACGUAGGUAACCUGCCCAUGUGCCCGGGAUAACUUCUGGAAACGGAUGCUAAAACCGGAUAGGUAGCAGACAAGCAUUUGACUGCUAUUAAAGUGGCUAAGGCCAUGAACAUGGAUGGACCUGCGGUGCAUUAGCUAGUUGGUGAGGUAACGGCCCACCAAGGCGACGAUGCAUAGCCGGCCUGAGAGGGCGGACGGCCACAUUGGGACUGAGACACGGCCCAAACUCCUACGGGAGGCAGCAGUAGGGAAUUUUCGUCAAUGGGGGGAACCCUGAACGAGCAAUGCCGCGUGAGUGAGGAAGGUCUUCGGAUCGUAAAGCUCUGUUGUAAGAGAAAAACGAUAUUCAUAGGGAAUGAUGAGUGAGUGAUGGUAUCUUACCAGAAAGUCACGGCUAACUACGUGCCAGCAGCCGCGGUAAUACGUAGGUGGCGAGCGUUAUCCGGAAUGAUUGGGCGUAAAGGGUGCGUAGGUGGCAGAACAAGUCUGGAGUAAAAGGUAUGGGCUCAACCCGUACUGGCUCUGGAAACUGUUCAGCUAGAGAACAGAAGAGGACGGCGGAACUCCAUGUGUAGCGGUAAAAUGCGUAGAUAUAUGGAAGAACACCGGUGGCGAAGGCGGCCGUCUGGUCUGUUGCUGACACUGAAGCACGAAAGCGUGGGGAGCAAAUAGGAUUAGAUACCCUAGUAGUCCACGCCGUAAACGAU
This 818-nucleotide ribosomal RNA is filed under the name uncultured bacterium. RNAcentral describes it as "bacterial SSU rRNA". It matches the Rfam family "Bacterial small subunit ribosomal RNA", at positions 8 to 810 of the family's 1533-position model. The record is from RNAcentral.